CAGGGUUUGUUGUUAAAUUGUGGUUUAGUCUGCGACGAAUAUUAAAUAUGAAUAAAGAUAGCUCUGAAAAAUUCCUGACCGAGGAUUCAGGUGACAUGGUAGUGGAUUUAACGUCACAUGGUGAAGAAAUAAAGGAAGCACAGCAGCAAAGUGCAAGUUCUGUUUAUAGAAGAUACAAAUGGCCAUGUUUCGUUUGUAUUUUAAUAGUUUGUAGUAUUGGCACUGUUGUUGGUUUAAACUAAAAACUCCGUGGUCUGUCUCUCGACAACACAGACAUAUCCAGUAUGAAAAAGGACAUAUUGCAGAACAAAGUUCAAAGGAAAAAAUUCGAACAUGAUAUAACAUUAUUGUUUUUUGGGCAUGGCCGCCAAAACAAAGAUUUAGACAAAGCGG
Mytilus trossulus (common blue mussel) is the source of this 393-nucleotide long non-coding RNA. RefSeq lists it as uncharacterized. The record is from RefSeq and is a predicted model, not a curated record. Lineage: Eukaryota; Metazoa; Mollusca; Bivalvia; Mytilida; Mytilidae. The transcript is spliced from 3 exons.